This 406-nucleotide ribosomal RNA is filed under the name uncultured bacterium. RNAcentral describes it as "partial 16S ribosomal RNA". It matches the Rfam family "Bacterial small subunit ribosomal RNA", at positions 30 to 526 of the family's 1533-position model. The record is from RNAcentral.
AUUGAACGCUGGCGGCAGGCCUAACACAUGCAAGUCGAGCGAGCGGCGGACGGGGGAGAAAUGUUUGGGAAACUGCCUGAUGGAGGGGGAUAAAUACUGGAAACGGUAGCUAAUACAGCAUACCAUAUGAUGUGCCCAGAUGGGAUUAGCUAGUAGGUGGGGUAACGGCUCACCUAGGCGACGAUCCCUAGCUGGUCUGAGAGGAUGACCAGCCACACUGGAACUUAGACACGGUCCAGACUCCUACGGGAGGCAGCAGUGGGGAAUAUUGCACAAUGGGCGCAAGCCUGAUGCAGCCAUGCCGCGUGUGUGAAGAAGGCCUUCGGGUUGUAAAGCACUUUCAGCGGGGAGGCGUUACCCGCAGAAGAAGCACCGGCUAACUCCGUGCCAGCAGCCGCGGUAAUAC